CCUACGGGCGGCAGCAGUGAGGAAUAUUGGUCAAUGGCCGGAAGGCUGAACCAGCCAAGCCGCGUGAAGGACGAAGGUGCCAAGCAUUGUAAACUUCUUUUGUCAGGGGACAAAAUCAGGCUCGAGAGCCUGACCGAGGGUACUUGAAGAAAAAGCAUCGGCUAACUCCGUGCCAGCAGCCGCGGUAAUACGGAGGAGGCGAGCGUUAUCCGGAUUUAUUGGGUUUAAAGGGUGCGUAGGCGGGCUGUUAAGUCAGCGGUAAAAGCCCGGGGCUCAACCCCGGCGAGCCGUUGAAACUGGCGGUCUUGAGAUGUCGAGAGGUAUGCGGAAUGCGCAGUGUAGCGGUGAAAUGCUUAGAUAGUGCGCAGAACUCCGAUUGCGAAGGCAGCAUACCGGCGGCGAUCUGACGCUGAGGCACGAAAGCGUGGGUAUCGAACAGGAUUAGAUACCCCUGUAGUC
RNAcentral lists this ribosomal RNA (459 nucleotides) under uncultured bacterium. RNAcentral's name for it is "partial 16S ribosomal RNA". It matches the Rfam family "Bacterial small subunit ribosomal RNA", at positions 338 to 795 of the family's 1533-position model. The record is from RNAcentral.